Molecule: non-coding RNA, 534 nt
Organism: Paramuricea clavata
Lineage: Eukaryota; Metazoa; Cnidaria; Anthozoa; Malacalcyonacea; Plexauridae
Source: the annotation of a GenBank genome assembly
AUAUACAAAUAAUCGACUCCAACAUUUCUUAGUGCCAUCAGUUCCAGGCCUUAAAAUAUCGGUCGGUCACGGACAUUGUCCGACCCAUUCGUCAAAUUGUCCGACGUAGAGAGGAAACCACCGGACAUUCAGUCCGACCUAAAUGAAACUGAGAUUUAUUGUUUGUCCGACCCAAGUGAAUUGGUGUCGGACCGAACUGUAACUUUGUCCGACGCUUUCUCCACGCACGUAAAUCAAAAUGUACCCUAGUCCAGGACUAGAGGCUCGUAUGUUAUAAUGGAGAAUUAGAGUAUUGUACAAAAAUGAACCGGAAAUGUUUUCAUUUAGUUCAGAAUUAAUACAUUGUGCAUUAUUUGUGCUGAUAUUAAUUUGCGUCAUUCAGACUUAUUUCCGAGCCAAACUGAACUGAAGGUCAUUGGACAUUAUCAUACACAUGUCCGACCCAAACUCAAUGUCAUCGGACAUUUUGUCAGACGGCCCUGUAAAAGAUAUUUUAAGGCCUGAGUUCAAUCAUGUUUCAUGUCAAGACAUCUC